AACGAACGCUGGCGGUAUGCCUAACACAUGCAAGUCGAACGAAGCCUUCGGGCUUAGUGGCGCACGGGUGCGUAACGCGUGGGAAUCUGCCCUUGGGUUCGGAAUAACAGUUAGAAAUGACUGCUAAUACCGAAUGAUGUCUUCGGACCAAAGAUUUAUCGCCCAAGGAUGAGCCCCGCGUCGGAUUAGCUAGUUGGUGAGGUAAAGGCUCACCAAGGCGACGAUCCGUAGCUGGUCUGAGAGGAUGAUCAGCCACACUGGGACUGAGACACGGCCCAGACUCCUACGGGAGGCAGCAGUGGGGAAUAUUGGACAAUGGGCGAAAGCCUGAUCCAGCAAUGCCGCGUGAGUGAUGAAGGCCUUAGGGUUGUAAAGCUCUUUUACCCGGGAUGAUAAUGACAGUACCGGGAGAAUAAGCCCCGGCUAACUCCGUGCCAGCAGCCGCGGUAAU
This 451-nucleotide ribosomal RNA is filed under the name uncultured bacterium. Its description in RNAcentral is "bacterial SSU rRNA". It matches the Rfam family "Bacterial small subunit ribosomal RNA", at positions 29 to 524 of the family's 1533-position model. The record is from RNAcentral.